GGGCGUAAAGCGUGCGCAGGCGGUGAUGUAAGACAGGUGUGAAAGCCCUGGGCUCAACCUGGGAAUGGCAUUGGAUACUGGCAGGCUAGAGUGCGGUAGAGGGUAGUGGAAUUCCCGGUGUAGCAGUGAAAUGCGUAGAGAUCGGGAGGAACAUCUGUGGCGAAGGCGACUACCUGGACCAGCACUGACACUGAGGCACGAAAGCGUGGGGAGCAAACAGG
Molecule: ribosomal RNA, 221 nt
Filed under: uncultured bacterium
Lineage: Bacteria
Description: partial 16S ribosomal RNA
Rfam family: Bacterial small subunit ribosomal RNA
Source: RNAcentral